Molecule: non-coding RNA, 4039 nt
Organism: Phasianus colchicus (ring-necked pheasant)
Lineage: Eukaryota; Metazoa; Chordata; Aves; Galliformes; Phasianidae
Source: RefSeq, a predicted model, not a curated record
CGGCCGAUGCCCGGUGCCGGCAGCGCGGAGCAGGUACGGCGUCGCGGGGCUGCGGGGCUUCCUCAGGCCCGGGCACGGCUCCCGGCGCUCGGACGGGAAAGGUUCGCGGCGCUCGGGGGGGCUGAGGCCGGGCAGCCCGUCCCGCGGUGCCCGCGCUGACCUCCGCUCCGCUCCGCACGGGAGCGGCACGCGGUGCUCGGCCGCCCUGCCGCCCUUCGAUGUCUGCAAUUCUGCCCCUCUGAGUCAUGUCACCCACGGGCGUUUCCCUCCGCGGAGACGCGGAGUGGCGUGAUGCAAGGCGUUUAUUUGUGUUUAUGUUUUGUUCCGCCGUCACGGUGCGUGCCUGAGAAAUGAGGGUGCCACCCGAGGCGGUGCUGACACGGGCACGGAGCUAAAUAUAGGCCGCUUGGGAAAGGGCAGGUGCUGCAGGAGGGAAGGGUGUUUGGCAAGGGCCAGGGCCUGUGAGCCGGCAGCAGUACAGAUCCCCAAAAGUUAGGCUGGUCAGCAGGAACGUAACGCACCAGGCCUGACUGCGGGUAGGGGAUGGAGCCUGAAAGCUGGGUCUAGAGAUCACUGGCUUGACGUCCCGAGGAUGCACGCCACGCAGACAGGAAGAGAAUCUCUUCUAAGUGACUCCUAGGACUGGAUAGCAGGGCAUCCCGCUGCACGUUCUUCCUGCAGCUCUGCUUAACUCUCCCAUCACAGCUCCCCUCCAGGAGCCUCUGCAGCACGUGCCCUCAGGACACCAGAGAACUUCUCUGAGCUAGUUUGCUUUCUGAAAGAGCAACUGCGUCCCUUUUGUCUCUGUGUUUGUUACAACCACUUCCCACUGGGACUAUAAACAUGUUAGUACACUUUAAUCUGAUCAGAAUUAAGUAUACGCCUGGAGAAGAUAUUAUAUAACAGCAACAUGAUAAACAAUGAUUGCAGCAGCACUAUGCAAUGCCAGUGAGUCCUUCUCAAAAUUACAGCGUAGUCAAUGCAGAUCAAACAGAUGAGAUGAGAGGGGAAUGAUUGCCAUUUGCUAAUACAAAGAACACAGAUUCCACAUUGUUUCCACAUCAUCUCAAUAUUUGUUUUGCUCCUAAGUGUUUCCUCUUCAAAAUUAGGACAUUUUCAGACACCGUCUUUUUCUUUUCCCCUCUGUAAGACAGCUAGGGCCAAGUAAUUUGAAAAGUUUUGGUUUUGACUUUUGUAAAAAGAGCUUGAAAGACUAAAGUGAAACAUAAAUUUGUACUGGAAUGCGGUUUUCAAUUUGAAAAUGUUACAAGAGUACUUUGCAAAAAAAUCGGUGUUGUUUUCAAAAACCAAGGCUUUUCCUAAGAACAGUUUUUGUGGAACUGACAUAUCUUCUUCCAAUAAAAUUAAAAAAAAAUAAAAAUAAAAAAUAGAACUGCUGAAAACCAUCCCUAUGUGCUUUUCCUGUAUCCAUUGCAGCAGGUUGCUCCGGAUUAACUUCUAUUACUGCUUUUGUGCUUCUUCUCCUACUGGUUUUAUGCUUAUGGCAGCCUAGGAACGCUAGCUUCUUCCUUUCUCUUCAUCCAAGUUGCGUGUAGUUUGUGAGUAUUUUAAACUAAAAGUUUGAAAAGCGCUGACUUGCCCUUAGUUGCUGUUGGUUUAGGCUCAAUAUGCUGAACAAAAAUAAAAAUACUCAUACUUCAAUUCUCAUGUCAAGUAGUUUUAUUUUACACUGUGAGCUUAUAGAUACAGCACCCUAUCACAAGUAUUGCUAGUGCUAACUUUAUUAUUAAAAGCUGAAAUUGCAGCCUGAGACUUGUUUUUGUGUGGAUUUAUGAUCCAGUGGGGAUAUCUGCUGCAUAGAAAUUCACUCACUGCUCCUUCCUUCAUGUCUGAGGUCUGUUCUGUGACUGCGCAGGAUGGAAACAACUUUUUUAGUGCAAAGUUUCUACUUCCAUUCAUAGUGUGCAAAAUGAAAUUUAGCUAAAAGUUAAGGCUUUAAGCUUACACAGAUGACUAAUUUAGAGGUUCAUUAAGUGCUUAUAAUGUUAAUUCUUGGUAGGUCAAAGCCAGAAACAAGACAGAUGGGUGGAGGACAGAUUAACAUAGGAAGAAGUAGCUGCCCUAUUGCUUAAACAGAUCAUCUCAGCUAUCUCGCCUGCAGAUCUUCUGUAUCUUCUGUUGGUCCUGCAGCCAAGUAACGGUUUGUGUGGGGAGGAAUGGGUUCGCUCUUGAACAUUCGGAGUUUUUGUGUUACAACAGCCUUACACACAUUUUCUGCCAAUGUCAACCACAUGCAACUAUGAGGUAUAAGGGCCCUCAGAACGACCUAUAUGGAACAGAGAAGAAAUCAAUAAAGCAGCCAUUUACUUUUUUUUUUCUUUUUUUCCUGAGGUCAUAGCAGUCCUCCUCUGAUUUCAGAUAUCACUGAUAUCACUAAAUAUGUUCACCUGAAUGAGACGUUACCAUCUUUCCAUCAGCAUGAUAGGCACCAGCAAAACAGGCAUCCAAAGAGCGAAGUACAGGGCAGAUUUGAACUGAGCGCGUGGAGGAUUCUGCCAGAAGUAGUUCUGCCAAAUGCAGAAUCUUAUUCAAAAUCACUGAAAGAACAACAAAGCUCAGGACACCCAGGUUUGGAAGCAGGCAAUGAAACCUUCAAUGCCCAUACUUAAACAUGAGGGGAGAGAAGACAUACUGCCUUACUGCACUAAGAUGCCCCAGCAAGCUGCAUGCCUGAAACUCCAUUAUGGAUUUUUGCAUCUGAAUGCUUCCACAGGAUAAAAUGAGGAAUGAAACUGUUGGCUUAGAGGCAGCAAAGGAAAUCUGGAAAAUGUGGGCAACACCAUUUACCUGCAUUACAAGUAUCACUUUUACAAGGCUUUGAAGACAUGGUACAGUUCAGUCUAAUAACUGAUGAUUACUUUAAACAGAGCACAGGCCCAUCAAGCAGAAAUAAAUAUUUUAAAACAAAUUAACUGUUUAGUUUUAACCAAUUUAUCAUAGGUGUUUCUAUUGGUAAGUCAUUGGUAGAGGACUGAGAAGAUGCCUGGAACUUAGGGCUCCUCACCUGCCUGGCAAUGAUUUCUAGCUGCUUGCGUAUAAUGCACAGUGUGUGGCUCAGAUUUUCCCAGUCAAGGUUCAUUUGGAGCUGAUUUGUUUGCAUUGCAGUGCUUUAUAAAUAGCAGGCAUCCCCUUUCCCAGAAUGCUAUUCUAUCAAAGUAGGGAAAAGAAGGGAGAAAAGAAAGGGGGAAGCUCGCCAAGCAGCAACAAAGGAGCAUGCAGAGCCACUGAGGGGCUUCAGGCACUGCUGUGCAUGCAGCAAAGAGGAGAAAUUACUCAAAGAAAUGUACAAUCCUGCACACUUUGAAACAAUUACAUGCACACAAAUUACAGCAUGCUUUCUGUCCACACAAACAAAUUACAGUGCAUUUGCUGUCAUCUCCAUAUUAUUCCAUGCAGCCAAAGAUAGCAUUGCUCCUCUGAAUUGUAAUUUGUAUUACAGUACAGCUCCUGUUUUACAUAUGCAUAGCUGCUUCAUCCCACUUCACUAAUUCCACAGCCAUAUCUCAGAGUAGUUUUUGUCCCCCAUCCAGGAAAGCCCACAACUUGGAUUUCUCUUGCUUUCAGCAGUAAGUGUAGCAGUCCUGGUGGGGAUGAGGAGCAAAGCAGGACAGCACACUGCAGUAAGGGGGCAGCUGCACUUGUAAGAGAUUUUUUUAAAGGCCAAUGACCUUCCCACAUUUGGGCAGAUCUCUCCUCUAUCUGUCAUGAGGACAAUGGUAAUUUCUAAGCAGAUAACAAAUCUGCACAGAAGCUUGGGCUGCACACAUUGACUGGUUGGUUCUGAUCCUGGAGCUGAGCACCAGCUAUUUAUCUUGCUUCUUGGACAGCUUUCACAAUCUUUGUCAAGUUCUUUGUUGCUUCAACUGAACUGCUUGAUCUGGAUGGGGCAGGACUAGUUCAAGUGCACUACAGAGAGGUGCAAAUAAAAAUUCUUACUCUAAAAAAAAUAGCCUUUCAACAAAUCAUUUGUCUUAAAAUAAAAGAGAGACAUUUAAUCCCUAGCCUCAUUCAAAGAGCA